RNAcentral lists this ribosomal RNA (217 nucleotides) under uncultured bacterium. Its description in RNAcentral is "partial 16S ribosomal RNA". It matches the Rfam family "Bacterial small subunit ribosomal RNA", at positions 28 to 238 of the family's 1533-position model. The record is from RNAcentral.
GACGAACGCUGACGGUGUGCUUUAGACAUGCAAGUCGAACGAGAAAGCCCUUCGGGUUAGUAAAGUAGGCGAACGGGUGAGUAACACGUGGGCAAUCUGCCCCUCGCAGGGGACGAACCGGAGGAAACUCCGGCUAAUACCCGUAAGUUCAAAGGGAGGCAUCUCUCUUCGAAGAAAGGUAAGCUUCGGCCAUCCGGCGAGGGAUGAGCCCGCGGUG